UACGUAGGUGGCAAGCGUUGUCCGGAUUUACUGGGCGUAAAGAGCGCGCAGGCGGUCGUUCAAGUCGCGUGUGAAAGCCCCCGGCUCAACUGGGGAGGGUCACGCGAUACUGAUCGACUCGAAGGCAGGAGAGGGUAGUGGAAUUCCCGGUGUAGUGGUGAAAUGCGUAGAUAUCGGAAGGAACACCAGUGGCGAAGGCGACUACCUGGCCUGUUCUUGACGCUGAGGCGCGAAAGCUAGGGGAGCAAACGGG
RNAcentral lists this ribosomal RNA (253 nucleotides) under uncultured bacterium. Its description in RNAcentral is "partial 16S ribosomal RNA". It matches the Rfam family "Bacterial small subunit ribosomal RNA", at positions 524 to 776 of the family's 1533-position model. The record is from RNAcentral.